Molecule: long non-coding RNA, 2778 nt
Organism: Haliotis rubra (blacklip abalone)
Lineage: Eukaryota; Metazoa; Mollusca; Gastropoda; Lepetellida; Haliotidae
Exons: 6
Source: RefSeq, a predicted model, not a curated record
CUCGUGUUUAUGUUUGGCAUGUUGAUACUAGUGCUCACGAUUUUUCUCUUAAGAUAUGUACUAUUUUUAAAUGACAAGGUUGAGUAUACAUUUGAGAACAAACCUUCCUUCCAAAGGAUAAUAUUAAGGGCUGUUUUCCGAAUUGUCGGACGAAAACAAGGACGUUUAUACAUUAACAAGAACGGCGCAGGUGUGUCGUCUGCUCGAGACACGCCCACUCAAGUCGGAACAGGUGGGAAGUCACACGUGUUAAACGAAAGGAAUAUCAGACCAGCUAACCCUUUGCAUAAAGUGUCAAUUACGAAUUGCAGACUGGAUACAAAGUCCAUAGAAGCAUACAAGAAGAUAUCAUGUGUGAAGACACAUGAUGCUGUUCCUAUCUGCUAUCCUGAAACUUUAUUUAUGCGAUUAUCAACGUUUCUUGCAACCUCUUUGAAAGCUUUUUUGAGCCCCUUAGGUCUGAUUCACAUUAAGCAGACAAUAACUCAGCACUGUCCUUUGGAUGAUCUCCUGGAUGGUGGAUUCGACCUCCAUGCUAGAGUAGUACACUAUGUGGAAGUAGAGAAAGGGAUUGAAGGAUAUGCUGAAUUUAAGGUCACUGACUGUCACAACUUGUGUGUUUGGGAAGGUAUGCUCACAGUGUUGUCCAGGAGUCCAAAAGCACAGAAAGUGGAACAUCAAGAAACACUCUGAGAACAGCUACAACCGAAACUGUUGAUGAUAACCAGCUUGGUGAGUGCCUCCUUCAAGUACCCCUAGAUACAGGUGUGCAAUAUGCCCGAGCUACAGCAGACUGGAACCCUCACCAUAUAUAUCCCUGGACAGCCAGACUGCUGGGUUACAGGGCACCAAUAGCACAUGGAAUGUGGACUCUGGCUAGGACACUGGAUGAACUCUUUGGAAAUGACAAUGUGAAGAAAUCCUAUCCUAUUCAUGUUGAUGCCACCUUCAAACGCCCUCUUUUCAUGCCUGGUGUGGCGAAGAUACAGUAUGGUAAAGACAAAAUUGAUAGGUCACAAAUGUGGUUCAAGUGCUGUGAGCUGUCUUCAGGAGCACCCAUUGUUUUAGGUUCUGUGCAGAUGGGGAAGUAGCCAUCUUCAUGUGUAUGGCUGUAUUAUUCACCAAUGUAUGAGUGCAUUAGGACUGCAACAAAUCCACAAUGAGGCAAAUUUGAUACAUAUCCCGAAUAUUGGGUAACAAAUACGAAUACUGGGUGUUACAGUGUUAUAUAUUAUUCAGUAUAUUGAGCGAAACCAUAACAAAAUAUGUUAUUUGACAUGUUUUGAUCAUGCUGACAAUGUUAAUUAUUCACGAUAACGACCAGUGACCACAGUACUAUCAAACUGGGUAUGUUAGAGUGUUGACGUUAUCCUUCCUGGAUUGAAUAUAUUCAUUUUUGCAUAUCACAUUUUGAGAAUUAAGACCUGAAGUCACUGAAAAAUAUCAUGAAUAUUCGAUUCUAGUCUUUGCAAUGAAUGAAUUCAAUUCAUGACAGGAUAUGUUUCAAUUCAGCAAAUUUAUGAGUGAAUCUAACAGCCUUAGUGUGUAUCAUAAUGCUUUGUGGAAUAAAUGCAAGAUUUGGUUCAUGAGGUCAUGUAUCACAUAUAUGCAGAUAUGGAAGUUAUCACACGUGUUUUGGGAUGCAAAAUAUCCUGUAUUAGGAAUACACUUUGUAUUUAGCAAACUUUCGCGUCAAGUGGACACUAUCAUGAUGGCCUCUUCAUUAUAUAAUGUUAUUCUGAAAUUUUGAUGUUGAAAAUACAUUUAUUCACCGAAGUUGCCAAACAUUCAACAGUCCUGUUUCGUGGAAGCAAGUGAGUAUAAUUUUACGCUACUUUUAGCAAUAUUCCAGCAAUAUCACAGCGAGGAAUUCCAGAAAUGGGCUUCAUAUAUUACCCAUAUUCCUGAUGGUUAAUUCUGAGUUGAUUGUCAACUGAUAAGGGCAGCAUGAUCGUAUGUCAGUACUGAGAGUAGUACCUACCUGACAUUUCAUAUUUGCAUUUUCAUGUGUUCAUGACUGCAGUACAUGCCGUUUUUACCCCUUUAUCCAGCCAAAAAAAACUACCCAUAAAAUGAUAAAUAUAUUACACAUCAUAAAGCCAUUACUUGCCAUGUACUGCAGCUGACUUGUAGGAUUGCUGUAUGUAUUUCAGUUGUAUUCCCAUUGAUGGUGUGCUAUUAAGUCUUUAUGUUUAUUUGUUGCAUACAUCAUAAGUACUGUAGUGUUACAUGUUUAGCAAGGUACUGAUUUACCAAAUUGUGUUCUCUGCCUUGUUUUUGAUGUAGAAAAGCAUAUUGAAAUGAUAACUGUGAGUAGUGUGAAUAAUUGAGGAGUUUGUUAUAAGUUAAUAUUUGUCUUUAUGUGAUACAUCUGUCUAUCAUGAAUCUUUAUUGUUUGAUCGUCAUUCUUGAAGUUGGUGACUCAAAAAUGAAACAUACAACUUUAUGCAUGACAACUUCUUAUUUAUUGCAUAGAGACUCAUGCAAUGAAUACGAAGUUGUCAUCCAUAAAGUUGUAUGUUAUAUUCAUAAAUCUUUAGAUUUUCAAUGUCUCCGAAAUUGCAAGGCAUUUGAUGCUCAAUGUUUGUAUACAUAUGACCUCAGAAAGGUAUUCAACCUUGAUUAAUUGCUCAGAUUGUACAGGUGUAGUGUUCAGUAGGGAUAAUAUGUUUCUUAUUCCACUUAUAGAUAUUACUAGUAGAUGUGCUCGUGUGUUUGGUGUCAUAAUGUUAUGGUAUGGGUUCCUUCUCUGCCCUGCAGAUUUGGAUGUGUCAUACA